Molecule: long non-coding RNA, 626 nt
Filed under: Heterocephalus glaber (naked mole-rat)
Lineage: Eukaryota; Metazoa; Chordata; Mammalia; Rodentia; Bathyergidae
Description: lncRNA (ENSHGLG00100046414.1)
Source: RNAcentral
GGAUAAUAUCAUAAAUGCUACAAUAGAACUUUAACAAAAUAGUAGCAAGCCAUUACAUAUUAGAAAACCUUUCUCUCCUACAGAAUAUUAACAAAGGUCAACAUAAUCUCCCCUGAAUUACCGGGCAUUAUUCUCUUGUUUGUCUAUAGAGUUUCAAAAUCUUUAGUUUUAUCCUAACAAUAGAUUUUCUUAGCUUUCAUAUAUGGUUGAAAUGUAAAUAAAUAGGCUCAUAUAAUAUAUUCUUACAUGACUUGCUUUUGUUCAUUGUUAUCUACUGAACAAUUUACCCAUUCAUUCUCUUGCUGAUAGAUACUCGAAUUGGAUCCAGCUAUUUUUAUAACAAGUCUUCCACACCGGUCUUGGUGUCUGUGUUUGAGUUUUUCACCAGUAUAUACUAAUAACGAAACAUGGGAGAAUCUUAGGGUGUACUCAUCCUUAGCCUUACCAGCAGCACACUGCCCAAAUGGCUGAAAUGAAAUGGUGUUAUUCCACUGGAAAAAUAUUGACUAUAAAAUCCUGACCUUGGAAAGUGGACCUGAAGAGAGACUCACAUUUAUUUCCAGUGUGUUGGAUGACUGUGACUCUAACUAAAUGGAACAAUGUCUUCAUCCAUUUUUGGUACUCAG